Molecule: ribosomal RNA, 492 nt
Filed under: uncultured bacterium
Lineage: Bacteria
Description: partial 16S ribosomal RNA
Rfam family: Bacterial small subunit ribosomal RNA
Source: RNAcentral
AGUGAACGCUGGCGGUAGGCCUAACACAUGCAAGUCGAACGGCAGCACAGUAAGAGCUUGCUCUUACGGGUGGCGAGUGGCGGACGGGUGAGGAAUACAUCGGAAUCUACUUUUUCGUGGGGGAUAACGUAGGGAAACUUACGCUAAUACCGCAUACGACCUACGGGUGAAAGCAGGGGAUCUUCGGACCUUGCGCGAUUGAAUGAGCCGAUGUCGGAUUCGCUAGUUGGCGGGGUAAAGGCCCACCAAGGCGACGAUCCGUAGCUGGUCUGAGAGGAUGAUCAGCCACACUGGAACUGGGACACGGUCCAGACUCCUACGGGAGGCAGCAUUGGUGAAUAUUGGACAAUGGGCGCAAGCCUGAUCCAGCCAUACCGCGUGGGUGAAGAAGGCCUUCGGGUUGUAAAGCCCUUUUGUUGGGAAAGAAAAGCAGCAGGUUAAUACCCCGCUGUUCUGACGGUACCCAAAGAAUAAGCACCGGCUAACUUCGUG